CCUGCCAACCCAUAAGAGGUCCAGCCUGCCCAGUGACUCUGUUCAACGGCCGCGGUAUCCUAACCGUGCGAAGGUAGCGUAAUCACUUGUUCUUUAAAUGAGGACUAGUAUGAACGGCACUACGAGGGUUACACUGUCUCCUUUUCCAAAUCAGUGAAACUAAUCUCCCCGUGAAGAAGCGAGGAUAAACCUAUAAGACGAGAAGACCCUAUGGAGCUUCAAACUUCCCAGCAAUUAUUUUUUCUAAUACAAUCUCAAGACAAUAAAAUAAACCCUUAUAAUAUGACUGCGAGUUUUCGGUUGGGGUGACCACGGAGUAAAAUAUAUCCUCCACAAUGAAUUAAAGCCUUAGCUUUAAACAAAGAAACACAAUUCUAUGCAUCAAAAAAUUGACACAUUGACCCAAUAUUUUGACCAAUGAAC
RNAcentral lists this ribosomal RNA (423 nucleotides) under Phyllomedusa vaillantii group sp. ABGD cluster 37. RNAcentral describes it as "partial large subunit ribosomal RNA". It matches the Rfam family "Bacterial large subunit ribosomal RNA", at positions 1834 to 2457 of the family's 2925-position model. The record is from RNAcentral. Lineage: Eukaryota; Metazoa; Chordata; Amphibia; Anura; Hylidae.